This 490-nucleotide ribosomal RNA is filed under the name uncultured bacterium. RNAcentral's name for it is "partial 16S ribosomal RNA". It matches the Rfam family "Bacterial small subunit ribosomal RNA", at positions 30 to 507 of the family's 1533-position model. The record is from RNAcentral.
AUUGAACGCUGGCGGCAGGCCUAACACAUGCAAGUCGAACGGUAACAGGAAGAAGCUUGCUUCUUUGCUGACGAGUGGCGGACGGGUGAGUAAUGUCUGGGAAACUGCCUGAUGGAGGGGGAUAACUACUGGAAACGGUAGCUAAUACCGCAUAACGUCGCAAGACCAAAGAGGGGGACCUUCGGGCCUCUUGCCAUCGGAUGUGCCCAGAUGGGAUUAGCUAGUAGGUGGGGUAACGGCUCACCUAGGCGACGAUCCCUAGCUGGUCUGAGAGGAUGACCAGCCACACUGGAACUGAGACACGGUCCAGACUCCUACGGGAGGCAGCAGUGGGGAAUAUUGCACAAUGGGCGCAAGCCUGAUGCAGCCAUGCCGCGUGUAUGAAGAAGGCCUUCGGGUUGUAAAGUACUUUCAGCGGGGAGGAAGGGAGUAAAGUUAAUACCUUUACUCAUUGACGUUACCCGCAGAAGAAGCACCGGCUAACUACGUG